This 474-nucleotide ribosomal RNA is filed under the name uncultured bacterium. Its description in RNAcentral is "bacterial SSU rRNA". It matches the Rfam family "Bacterial small subunit ribosomal RNA", at positions 28 to 501 of the family's 1533-position model. The record is from RNAcentral.
AUUGAACGCUGGCGGCAUGCUUUACACAUGCAAGUCGAGCGGCAGCGCGGGGGCAACCCUGGCGGCGAGCGGCGGACGGGUGAGUAAUGCAUCGGAACGUAUCCCGUAGUGGGGGACAACCCAGCGAAAGCUGGGCUAAUACCGCAUAUGCUCUACGGAGGAAAGUGGGGGACCCGCAAGGGCCUCACGCUAUGGGAGCGGCCGAUGUCCGAUUAGCUAGUUGGUGGGGUAAAGGCCCACCCAGGCGACGAUCGGUAGCUGGUCUGAGAGGAUGAUCAGCCACACUGGGACUGAGACACGGCCCAGACUCCUACGGGAGGCAGCAGUGGGGAAUUUUGGACAAUGGGGGCAACCCUGAUCCAGCCAUGCCGCGUGCGGGAAGAAGGCCUUCGGGUUGUAACGCUUUGUCGGAGAAGGACGUCGUCCUAAUACGGGGCGUUCUUGACGGUACCGGCAGAAUAAGCACCGGCUAAC